AUUGAACGCUGGCGGCAGGCCUAACACAUGCAAGUCGCACGAGUGGCGGCCGGGUGAGUAAUGUCUGGGAAACUGCCUGAUGGAGGGGGCUAACUACUGGAAACGGUAGCUAAUACCGCAUACCAUCGGAUGUGCCCAGUGGGGAUUAGCUAGUAGGUGGGGUAACGGCGCACCUAGGCGACGAUCCCUAGCUGGUCUGCGAGGAUGACCAGCCAAACUGGAACUGAGACACGGUCCAGACUACGACGGGAGGCAGCAGUGGGGAAGAUUGCACAAUGGGCGCAAGCCUGAUGCAGCCAUGCCGAGUGGAUGAAGAAGGCCUUCGGGUUUUAAAGUACUUUCAGCGGGGAGGCGUUACCCGCAGAAGAAGCACCGGCUAAGUCCGUGCCAGCCGCCGCGGUAAUAC
Molecule: ribosomal RNA, 406 nt
Filed under: uncultured bacterium
Lineage: Bacteria
Description: partial 16S ribosomal RNA
Rfam family: Bacterial small subunit ribosomal RNA
Source: RNAcentral